GAUGAAGAACGUAGCGAAAUGCGAUAAGUAAUGUGAAUUGCAGAAUUCAGUGAAUCAUCGAGUCUUUGAACGCACAUUGCGCCCCCUGGUAUUCCGGGGGGCAUGCCUGUCCGAGCGUCAUUGCUGCCCUCAAGCACGGCUUGUGUGUUGGGCCCCCGUCCCCGGUUUCCCCCGGGGACGGGCCCGAAAGGCAGCGGCGGCACCGCGUCCGGUCCUCGAGCGUAUGGGGCUUUGUCACCCGCUCUGUAGGCCCGGCCGGCGCCAGCAGACACCCAACUUUAUUUCUAAGGUUGACCUCGGAUCAGGUAGGGAUACCCGCUGAACUUAAGCAUAUCAAUAAGCGGAGGA
RNAcentral lists this unclassified non-coding RNA (348 nucleotides) under soil metagenome. RNAcentral's name for it is "partial contains 5.8S ribosomal RNA, internal transcribed spacer 2, and large subunit ribosomal RNA". The stretch from base 1 to 120 matches the Rfam family "5.8S ribosomal RNA", at positions 35 to 154 of the family's 154-position model. The record is from RNAcentral.